This 900-nucleotide long non-coding RNA is filed under the name Rattus norvegicus (Norway rat). Its description in RNAcentral is "long non-coding RNA NONRATT007376". Lineage: Eukaryota; Metazoa; Chordata; Mammalia; Rodentia; Muridae. The record is from RNAcentral.
CUCUCCCCCCACCCCUGUGUGUGUCUGCUCUUCCCCUGACUCCGAUUCCGUCAUCUCGCCCACCCUGUCUACCCUUCCUGGUGUCUGCGUCACCCCUGUCUGUCUCAGGAGGAUGAGUCGCCGCGCAGUGUCCUGGAGGAGAUGGGCCUGGCAUAGCCCCGUCAGCCAGCGGGGGGCCCUGUGGAACCGGGGGAAGACAAGACAAGAGACAGCACUUGGGGCUGUUUCCUCUCACCUCUCCCCCAGACCCCUUCUCGUGGAGGGACCCGGCCGCUUUUCCUCGGCCACCUCACCUACUUAGAAGGAGCUGUGGCUCCAGCCCUACAUACAAACAUUCCCUCCCUCCAGGUCUUCCUCCCCCACCACCGUCCGUUCCCACUGAAGGCUUUAGGGGCUAGAAGGGAGGGGAAUGUGACCGGAUGGGGAUGCCCAGUGGCUUUCAUUCUCCUUCCUUUGAAGAAGCAAUGGCAACCCCAGCCGUCCUUCGUCCUCCCUGUGUCCCGAAUUGCUGUAAAUAUAUAAAUAUGUCAGGUUAAAGGGAAAAGGUUUCCAGGGCUCUUUUCUCCCCUCUGCCCCCAAACCUACCUCCAUCCCUCCCCAGAACCAGUCAGGGCAGCCUCUCUGCCUCGGAGGGAGGGGCUUUCUUCUCCUGGGCCCCACUUCCUCCUGGGCUCAGUGUCUAGCCAGAGCCAGGGGAGGAGCCACACAGUUAAUGUUUUUCUAACCUUGCUACUUGGAGGGAAGGGAAGGUUGGGGAAGGACCUGCUUUCUGGGACACUGACCCUGUCCCCCUUCCUCCUCUCCACGUUAUGGGUGUGGCAGGAGCCAAGCGGGUGGGGUGGGCCAAGUGGCUGCCUUUAUUUCCUUUCUUCUGAAAUAAAAGGAAAAAGUGUUUCUGGA